GUUAGGAAUAUUGGACAAUGGGCGCAAGCCUGAUCCAGCCAUGCCGCGUGAGUGAUGAAGGCCUUCGGGUUGUAAAGCUCUUUCAGUGGGGACGAUAAUGACGGUACCCACAGAAGAAGCCCCGGCUAACUUCGUGCCAGCAGCCGCGGUAAUACGAAGGGGGCUAGCGUUGUUCGGAUUUACUGGGCGUAAAGCGCACGUAGGCGGAUCGUUAAGUCGGGGGUGAAAUCCUGGAGCUCAACUCCAGAACUGCCUUCGAUACUGGCGAUCUUGAGUCCGGAAGAGGUGAGUGGAACUCCUAGUGUAGAGGUGGAAUUCGUAGAUAUUAGGAAGAACACCAGUGGCGAAGGCGGCUCACUGGUCCGGUACUGACGCUGAGGUGCGAAAGCGUGGGGAGCAAACAGGAUUAGAAACCCCGGUAGUCC
Molecule: ribosomal RNA, 425 nt
Filed under: uncultured bacterium
Lineage: Bacteria
Description: partial 16S ribosomal RNA
Rfam family: Bacterial small subunit ribosomal RNA
Source: RNAcentral